UACGGGGGAGGUAAGCGUUGUUCGGAAUUACUGGGCGUAAAGGGCUCGUAGGCGGCCAACUAAGUCAUACGUGAAAUCCCUCAGCUUAACUGGGGAACUGCGUGUGAUACUGGAUGGCUUGGAUUUGGGAGAGGGAUGCGGAAUUCCAGGUGUAGCGGUGAAAUGCGUAGAUAUCUGGAGGAACACCGGUGGCGAAGGCGGCAUCCUGGACCAAUAUUGACGCUGAGGAGCGAAAGCCAGGGGAGCAAACGGG
RNAcentral lists this ribosomal RNA (253 nucleotides) under uncultured bacterium. RNAcentral's name for it is "partial 16S ribosomal RNA". It matches the Rfam family "Bacterial small subunit ribosomal RNA", at positions 524 to 776 of the family's 1533-position model. The record is from RNAcentral.